This 253-nucleotide ribosomal RNA is filed under the name uncultured bacterium. Its description in RNAcentral is "partial 16S ribosomal RNA". It matches the Rfam family "Bacterial small subunit ribosomal RNA", at positions 524 to 776 of the family's 1533-position model. The record is from RNAcentral.
UACGUAGGGUGCAAGCGUUGUCCGGAAUUAUUGGGCGUAAAGAGCUCGUAGGCGGUCUGUCGCGUCGGCUGUGAAAACCCGGGGCUCAACCCCGGGCUUGCGGUCGAUACGGGCAGGCUCGAGUUCGGUAGGGGAGACUGGAAUUCCUGGUGUAGCGGUGAAAUGCGCAGAUAUCAGGAGGAACACCGGUGGCGAAGGCGGGUCUCUGGGCCGAUACUGACGCUGAGGAGCGAAAGCGUGGGGAGCGAACAGG